UGAAUAAGUUGUCUCCGUUUGGCCUUUACAGGUAUGUAUGUAUUCUAGAUUCCAAAAGGUGAAUACUGAUUGAAUGUAUCUAACAGUUAGUGAUCUGGCUCUGGCUUGUUCCAGGUGUGGAUCUGAUAGGGUUUGCAUUGGCUUAUUUCAGGUUGGAUGGGAUAAGGUUUGUAAAUGAAUCUCUUCACCUAGAUACAUUUAGGCCUCUCUUUUUUUCUGUACUACCUCAUGUCGCACUCUAGAAGCUUUGACAUGGCUCUGAACCAUCGAUCCGAUGGUUGAUGUGAUUUUUCUGAUGAUACAUCAAAAAAGCCUGAACUGUUUUGCAGAGAAUGGUCCAUUAUCCCUGGGAAGGGUGAGUUGAUGGACAGGGACUCCUUAAACCAUCUUAUUGGUCUCCAACUCUGGAAGUCAAACAGACAUGAAGCAGUAACAUGAUCUAACAAAAGCAAUUGCUCAGUUUCAUAUCUGAACUGUUCUUUAUUGGUAUCUUGACCAUGAUUGUAUUUAUUCUUGCCUCUUGUACCUGGUCUUAGGCAGGAAAAGAACUGUUUUUUUAGUUCCUCUAGUUUGAUCAAAUUAUGAUGCAUUUCAGGAAAAGACAUUUCGUCAUCCUUUUAUUUUCUUACACGUAAUGAUGAUGCUGAAGGUCCAUAAAGGAGAUUAGAGCGGGGCGGUUGAGCAUGAC
This 688-nucleotide long non-coding RNA is filed under the name Panicum hallii. RNAcentral describes it as "long non-coding RNA (PHAL_LNC000015)". The record is from RNAcentral. Lineage: Eukaryota; Viridiplantae; Streptophyta; Magnoliopsida; Poales; Poaceae.